RNAcentral lists this long non-coding RNA (1068 nucleotides) under Cairina moschata (Muscovy duck). RNAcentral's name for it is "domestica (muscovy Duck (domestic type)) lncRNA (ENSCMMG00000006096.1)". The record is from RNAcentral. Lineage: Eukaryota; Metazoa; Chordata; Aves; Anseriformes; Anatidae.
AUGGGACGGCAGGAGAGGACUCGCACCCCAGCUGGUCCAGGCGCCCCAGCGCGUGGUGACAGGGGAGAAACAUCCCCGAGGAGGACAGGGAUGUGGGGAGCGAGACCCACGCGAGGCUCACGCUCUCCUUGUGCCCGUGCAGACGGAGCCACGGGCGGGUGCCAGCCCCCCCGGCAGGGAUGGGAGCCCCGAAGGCAGCCGAGGGCUCGGCAGGGCUCAGCGUGCCGCCGCUCCCAGGUGCAGCUGCGAGAGGGAGAAGGAAAAAAAAAGGGGGGGGACCCGCUACCUCUCCACGGCAAAGCUGGCUGGUUUCUUCCUCCCGGGGUACACCCUGCCCUGGCCGCCCGGGAGGAACAGGGACACACAGGCAGCCUGGACGAGCAGCUCGAGCAACAUGACAGGCGGCUGCAGCACGCUCGCAGCGCUGCCUUCCUGCCUGCCUUCCUGCCUUCCCCGGCGGCACGGCACGGCGCGGCACGGCGCGGCACGGCGCGGCACGGCGCGGCACGGCACGGGCGCCUACCGCAUGCUGGCCCUUGGCCCUGCUCCUCCUCCCGCCCGCCGGGCCGGGAACAAUGCGGGGGGUGGAGGGAGGCGAGAGCGGGGAGCGCCGGGGGGGACCCUGCUCUCCUCCCACCCCGCGCGUGGGGAUGCUCACCCAGCGCCUGCCGGGCUCGCCGAGCCCCCGGGCUCGCCCCCGGCCCGGUGACCCCGGCGUGGCCCCCCCCGGGACGGGGUCCCCGGCGCCUCCUGCGUGGAGCGGGGAGAGGGGGAAGCAAGCGAGCGGCGAGCGUCCCCCCUUCUCUCCUUUCCCACAUCUGGCAAAGCUCCGGCCUGGCCUCUCCCCACCCCUCCUCCUCCUCCUGGCGGCACUGGGCUGCCUUCCCAGCCCUGCGCGGGGACCCACCAAAGAGGAGCACGCAGCAGAUAAAGGGGCCAAAGUGGAGCGGGGCCGGUGGGGAAGGGCGCGGCGAGGGGCGAGGGGCGCUGCGGGGCCCCCCCGGCCCGGCGCGCAUCCCCCCAUGGCCCUCGCCCCGAAGCGAAGGUCGCGGGCAGGUAAAUGAUUGA